This 5297-nucleotide long non-coding RNA is filed under the name Sus scrofa (pig). Its description in RNAcentral is "lncRNA (ENSSSCG00015020467.1)". The record is from RNAcentral. Lineage: Eukaryota; Metazoa; Chordata; Mammalia; Artiodactyla; Suidae.
GGGUCACGCCCAAGGCAUAUGGAAGUUCCCAGGCUAGGGGUCGAAUCAGAUCUACGGCGUCCAGCCUACACCACAGCUACAGCAACACAGGAUCCAAGCCAUGUCUGUGACCUAUACCACAACUCACAGCAACACCAGAUCUUUAACCCCCUGAGCAAGGCCAAGGAUUGAACGCUCGUCCUUAGGGAUAUUAGCCAAGUUCAUUAUUGCUGAGCCACCACGGGAACUCCCCUGAAGCUCCUUCUCGAUAGUGUGUCUGAAGCACUGGCUGCUGGCCGGCAAUCUCUGUAUAUACCUUAUUUCCCUCUGCCCUCACGCUAACCCUAAGAGGUAGGGUCUCUGUGAAUCCCAUUUAAAAGACAAAGACACCCAGGCUCCUGGAGGUCAGGCGACACGCUGCCAAAUGGUGCAACCAGGACUUUGGUCUCUCCGUCCUUGGAUGCAGCCUCUGAAUCCUGUUCAUUUCUGGAGCCCAUCUCCGCCUCCCGGAAGGGCUGCCUGGGUGUCGAGCCCGUUACCAGCUUUAUCUCCCACGGGCAAGCUCCUUGCAGGCAGUGAACUUGUGUCCUUGGCUUUUGUGGCCCCCCGUGGACCACGCACCCACCCAGUGGGUGCUUUAGAAAUUACCAGGUAGCGACUGUUAAUGGGCUCCGUAGGUUGGGGCUGAUCCCCGGCCGUGGCCGUGGCCUGGAUAGGCUCCAGUUUCUCAGCAGUCUCCACAGGGGUACGGAUUCCUGCUGGGAUGUUCUGUGAACUGUGGGCCAGCUGGUUUCUCGGCCCUCUUUUGGACUUAAAGGAACACCGGUGUGUUGCAAAGCUCGGGUCCUGCCGGGAGAGCCCGAAUCUCUUACUCUCUUCCCAGAAAAAUAGAUCGAAAUUUUGCUUUCCUUUUUACCGCCAUCGCAGAGCAGAUGUUAACUUUCCAAUAAACGGGGGGAAAAAAAUAGAGGAGAGACAUUUAGCCAACUAUAGCUGUGCAGGCCGGAGUUAUCACUCUGAUUUCAACUGGGACCAUAAAAUUUUAUGAGCUAUUAAAUUGUCCUAAAGCGCCUUUAAGAUACAAACUUGAGUGUCUGAGAUGGCCCAUUAAAAAAAGUGGGUUACAUCAGGAGAACUUUUACUACCAACCCUCAGAUGUGUUCAAUCAAUAAAACUUCUAACUAGCCGUGUGGCUUUGGGCAGAGAAUGUGGGUCCUGCUGGGGCUGGGCCAGCUGGUGGUCCCAGAAACAUCCUUGAGCAUGAAGGGAGCCAGACAGCAGGGCUGUCGGCCAGGGCCUGGCACCUCUGAGGCUUCCUGAACAUUCUGCUUCCUGCCUGGGCUUCCAUGGUCAAGCGGUGGACGGAGCUGGGAGGUGGGCCAGAGACCAGCAUGUCAGGUCUUGUAGCCACAAGUGGGCUUAGGGUGUCCCUGCUUCCUGGGGGAAAUGGGGGCACCGCGGGGCCGUCCUGGGAUGAGACGGGCCAGCCCUGAGCCACUGCUGCCCUUGAGGCCUUGAGCCUGCCCCUCGCAUCUUGUGUACAGACCGUGGGGUCUGGGGCCCAGGGGCGUCGCCUACCUGCUUGGCCGCUAUUGUCCCCAGAUUCUAGGCGCUUAGGGUGGCCAGGAGGCCUGGUCCUGGCAGCCAGCGGCAGGGCCGACCCUGGCCUCCUAGCCCAUUGCGACAGCCCAGUUGGGCAAUUCCCACGGGCUGAGCUGUGCCCGGAGCUCAGUUUCCUCGUCCCAGUGUCUGGAUCCGCGCAGACACGUGCCCCCAUCGCUGUUUAUGUGGUUGCCUCUAAUCUCCCAGCCUCUGGAGCCUCUGUCCGUCUCUGGCUGGGUUCCCCGCCGUGCUCUGGUCCCAAGGUCAGGGAGUCGGUCCUCCCAGGCCUGCAGCCCAGCCAGCUGGGAGAAGGCCCGGGGAGGGGCUUCCUGGGGCAGCCAGGCGGAUGGGCCUGCAUCAGUGGGGUGUUUGGGGGUGUCUAGCUGGGACAGGGCGUCAGCGUGCUGACCAGGGCAGGACAUCAGGCCUGCCUUGAGGCGUGUGUUCCGCCAGACGCCAAUUAGCCUGGAAUUCAGAGGCCCGUGGCCUCCUCGCCCGCCUGGAGAUAGGGCCUCGGAUCCGCUCCACCAGACGGCUCCUGUGUGGCCUCGCUGGGAGUCCUGGAGUCCCUCCACCCAGGAACACUUCCAGGGGUCAGAGGGCUCUCAGCCUCCCAGUCUCAGCUGGGGUGGGAAAGGGAAGGGUCUGGACUGCAGGCCCCUGGGAUCCUGACCCAACCCUGCCACCAACUGAAGGAGGGCUGGUGCAGUCAUUGUCCCUCCAGGGGCCUUGAGAAGGGAGGGGGGACCCCCCACCUUGAGCCCUGGGUCUUUCUCUGCUCUAAAUCUCUGGGGCUCUGGCUAAAGGGUGCCCCCUAGGAGUUCCGUGUAAACAGUGAUGCGUUUGCAAGGAAAAUCCACCAGGCAACCCACGUAUCAACCAUUUCCACUCUAGCAUGAAUCAGCUUUUCAGACCAGCUUGGGUGCAGAGCUGGGAGGGGACAGGUGCUGGGCACGGCCAUGGUGAUGAGGGGUGUGGGGCAGACUGGGAGGGACCUCAGGGUGAAACUGAGAGUCCUGAGGGUCCCUGGGAAUAAGGCCUGGGAGGAGCGGGAGGUACCAUCUCAGUUUGGGGAGUGAGUUGGGAACGAGAGGCCGACACUGGGAACGGAAGCCUGUGAGUGAUGAGAACUUUCCUUCUGGGUAAUGGGGAGCCAAGGAGGGCUGUUCAGGGAGGGUGUGGCAAGCUAGUCCCCGUGUUUGGGGAAGUUGACGCCGGCGGACAGCGUGUGGCAGCUGUAGGUGGAAGAGACAGAGCAGGCCCUGAACUCUUAGAGUCCGCUGAACCCAGUGAGAAACGCCCACGGAUGAGGAGGGUGGAUGCUGGACUCUCCCUGCCCUUUAGCCAAGGUGGCAGCUUGUCUUGGUGGCUCUGCCACACGGGGCUGCCCCAAACCUCAAGGACCCCACCCCCUGCCCACAGAAGAUAAAGUUCUCUGCUCUGUUGGGGGUGGGGAAGACGUCGGGCUGCCCCAGGGCUUCUAGAAGCUUCUCCAGGAAUACCAGCUCUGUGAGAUGUUAAUGGGGUCCCAGGGAGAAGGCUCUAGGGUAAGGAGGUCUCGAGAGCCCGGGUUCGGGUCAAACCCCAUCUUCACCGCAGGGGCUUGAGCCUUUAGUCAGCAGCAGGCCCCACCACCCCUGAGCCGAGCAGGCCUGGUCCUCAAACACGAGUGACCCUGGGACCCCAUGCGGUUGCGCCUUGCGGAGCCCCCCGCAGCAAGGCUGGCAAUGCCCUCCUUGAACUCCUGGGGGUGGAGGGUGGGCAUGCCAGGUGUCAGCCGGAAGGAAAGGCCUUCCGGGUGAGGCUUCUCCCCCCACCACCUUCUGGCCGCCCCAUUGCUGGGAUGUCGUGUCCCUAGGGGGCCCUUCUCUGCCCCCCAUCACUCAGCUCUGCGUCGCCCCCUCUCCCCGCAGCAGCCCAUCCCCCGGGGGCCUUUCUCAUAGGCGUUUCCUCAGGGAUCUGGCGCCGCAGCGUUAACUUAAGUAGGGCCUGGUGUGGAGGCCCAGUGCCCCCAGGCCCGGCUCUGGACCCCAUAAGGCAAGAGCUUUGCUGGGGGUCCCAAGGUGCGCAGAGGGGCCUUCCGAGGCAGGGGUGGUGUUGGCGGAGCCCCACUGACACCGGGCUCCCACCCUGUCGGCUGAGGGAUGGGCUGAAUUGGGGGGUCCCUGCCACGGAGAUGCCCCCUGCCCGGGACCCUGCUCCUCCCGCUGCGGGAAGACCCUGUCCAGCUGGGCCCCUCCUCCUUUCCCGGGAGGGAGGAGGCAGGGGACGGAGGGCCCGCUGCACCCUCCCCCAGCCAUUACCUCUGUGGGUGCGCCUCUUCCACGCCCCUUCUGCCUGCUUUGGGGCCUUGCCCACCGCGCCCCCCAACCCUGCCCCCGCCGUCUGUCCACCUUCUUCCCUUCCCAGGCCAGGGUCUUUGAGACCCAGGCGUUCAGCCUCGGGCAGGAGUGGACCUUGGGCCCAAGGCGCCAUCCUUCUGUCCACCCACUGACCGUGUGCUCUUGGACAUGUUGGGUGACUUUUCACGGCCUCAUCUGUCGUAGUCUCGUGGGGCCCAGCCCCUGGGAACGGGGACGGGCACAUGAGGCAGUGUGCGCCUGGCAUCUGUGUCCUUAAGGGCAGAGACAGUCGGGGCUGUGUGGGCCCUGAGGGGACACCCGGCCUGGCCUCCAGGAGGGAGCGGGAGGAGGGCCACGGUGGCCCAAGGAUUGGUCCCUGGUCCUCACCCUGGGUUUCGCCCCUUGUUGCUCUGGCUGGGACAGUACUAGGUGCCCUGGCCACUUUCCCGGAAAGGGGGAGGGCACACUGGGCGUAGGCAGACCCCUCGGGCCAGGACCGGCGCUGGACAUCCGAGAGGGUGUUCUGAACGCGUGGCCCAAUGCCCACAGUAGGCAGGGGACCCAGCCCUGGGGGCGGCACAGGGUGUGUCCCCCUCCUACUCUUUGCUGCCCUAGCUGUCCUGGCGGGGCGGCUGGAACAGAACCCCAGGUGUCCCCCGCUCUCCCUGGCACUUUAGAAAGUGGAUUCAUUUGGCCUGUGGUUUCUGAGUGGUUUGGCCCACAGGUACCCAGAGGCUCCGCUGCCAGGGAUCCCCCCGCCACCAGCCGCUGGGAGCCCGAGGGGUGGACGGCCUGGCAGUGCAGGCAUUGGCUGGCAGCUGCUGCCCCCACGCCCCCGCAGCCCCUCCCAGCUGCCCGGUUUCCCAAAUGGGCCUCCUGGCGGGGCGCCUCCUGCAGCGGCCAAGCAGGAGCACUCCUCUGCCUCCCGGGCCGCCCUGCGGUUUGGGCAGGAAUUCAGGGAAUUGGCCGUUUCUGGCUCCCUAGCUGAGGACACAGUGGCUCCUGGGGGUGAGCUCCGAGCCUCAGGAGGUGCGCACAACACUUGGAGAGGAGUGGCCGGUGGGAGGGCAGCCCCAACUGGGCGUCGGGCCUGGGGGCACCAGCCAGCCUCUCGGCGGUGGGGGGUGCGCAGAGCCGUGGGGCCAGAAAACAGUGGACACUGUGACCUUAGAGGGACAUUCCCUCUCUGGUGUCAGCUUGCUCUUGCCUCUCCUUGGUUUAUUUACGUAGUCGACAGGCGUUAAUUGAGCACCAACUGUGUGCUUAAUUAAUUGAGCACCUACUGUGUACCGGCUGCUGUUCUAGCUGGUUCUCCAGGCUGCCUCGCCUUCACCCUGGCUCCCCCCAUCCUUCCUGCCCCAGGCACGGUCUCCU